This 530-nucleotide long non-coding RNA is filed under the name Medicago truncatula (barrel medic). RNAcentral's name for it is "lncRNA gene17298". Lineage: Eukaryota; Viridiplantae; Streptophyta; Magnoliopsida; Fabales; Fabaceae. The record is from RNAcentral.
UUUGAAUGGAAGAAUUCCUCUUUUGACAAGCUCCUCGAAUUGCAAAUAUGCCACAAACCCACAAGUAGAAGCUGUCCAAAGUUGUAUCUCUCGAAUGCCCAAAUCUUUAGCCACUCUUCCAGCAAAGUCAUAAUUACCAUCAGCAAUUAUGCAAGUAACUGGAAUAUGAGGUGAUGAAGUGUUGAGCUUAAUCACAAGCUCUUUGAAAGGAGCAUAACAAUUUUUUCUAGUUGCAUCACACAACGUUGGAAUAUCUUGUGUUGCAUCUUUAUCUGACUCUGGCAAACCAUCAGGUAUGGUCUCAAAUUGAAAAUCUGGUAGACCCUUCACAAACUCAGCUCCAAGAGAUUUUAUCAAACGUUUGUGGUUGAAUUCAGUGUUCACAAAGGUUAUGUGAAAACCGUUGCAACGUAGGAGUUUGGCUAAUUGCAUGAAAGGGUUCACAUGACCUUGUGCUGGAAAUGGUGCUAAUACAACAUGAGGCUUUUGGCUAUGACCAUGAGGAGGUGAAGAAGAAGAAGGAGUUGUAG